CACACGACUCUCGGCAACGGAUAUCUCGGCUCUCGCAUCGAUGAAGAACGUAGCAAAAUGCGAUACCUGGUGUGAAUUGCAGAAUCCCGUGAACCAUCGAGUUUUUGAACGCAAGUUGCGCCCGAGGCCUUCUGGCCGAGGGCACGCCUGCCUGGGCGUCACGC
This 164-nucleotide ribosomal RNA is filed under the name Dregeochloa pumila. Its description in RNAcentral is "Dregeochloa pumilla 5.8S ribosomal RNA". It matches the Rfam family "5.8S ribosomal RNA". Rfam says of the family: 5.8S ribosomal RNA (5.8S rRNA) is a component of the large subunit of the eukaryotic ribosome. It is transcribed by RNA polymerase I as part of the 45S precursor that also contains 18S and 28S rRNA. Lineage: Eukaryota; Viridiplantae; Streptophyta; Magnoliopsida; Poales; Poaceae. RNAcentral also lists the same sequence under 3 other names. The record is from RNAcentral.